This 636-nucleotide ribosomal RNA is filed under the name Rhodococcus sp. So2Pw_1321. RNAcentral's name for it is "bacterial SSU rRNA". It matches the Rfam family "Bacterial small subunit ribosomal RNA", at positions 383 to 1032 of the family's 1533-position model. Lineage: Bacteria; Bacillati; Actinomycetota; Actinomycetes; Mycobacteriales; Nocardiaceae. The record is from RNAcentral.
CUGAUGCAGCGACGCCGCGUGAGGGAUGAAGGCCUUCGGGUUGUAAACCUCUUUCAGCAGGGACGAAGCGAAAGUGACGGUACCUGCAGAAGAAGCACCGGCUAACUACGUGCCAGCAGCCGCGGUAAUACGUAGGGUGCGAGCGUUGUCCGGAAUUACUGGGCGUAAAGAGUUCGUAGGCGGUUUGUCGCGUCGUCUGUGAAAACCCAUCGCUCAACGAUGGGCCGGCAGGCGAUACGGGCAGACUUGAGUACUGCAGGGGAGACUGGAAUUCCUGGUGUAGCGGUGAAAUGCGCAGAUAUCAGGAGGAACACCGGUGGCGAAGGCGGGUCUCUGGGCAGUAACUGACGCUGAGGAACGAAAGCGUGGGUAGCAAACAGGAUUAGAUACCCUGGUAGUCCACGCCGUAAACGGUGGGCGCUAGGUGUGGGUUCCUUCCACGGGAUCUGUGCCGUAGCUAACGCAUUAAGCGCCCCGCCUGGGGAGUACGGCCGCAAGGCUAAAACUCAAAGGAAUUGACGGGGGCCCGCACAAGCGGCGGAGCAUGUGGAUUAAUUCGAUGCAACGCGAAGAACCUUACCUGGGUUUGACAUAUACUGGAAAGCUGCAGAGAUGUAGCCCCCCUUGUGGCCGGUA